GACGGAGGCCCCGAGCGUUGUUCGGAAUCAUUGGGCUUAAAGCGCGUGUAGGCGGACCGGUAAGUGCUUUGUGAAAUCCCCGGGCUCAACCCGGGAAUUGCUUGGCAUACUGUCGGUCUUGAGGCAGGUAUGGGUCACUGGAACCUUAGGUGUAGCGGUGAAAUGCGUAGAUAUCUAAGGGAACGCCGGUGGCGAAAGCGGGUGACUGGGCCUGUCCUGACGCUGAGACGCGAAAGCGUAGGGAGCAAAC
This 250-nucleotide ribosomal RNA is filed under the name uncultured bacterium. RNAcentral's name for it is "partial 16S ribosomal RNA". It matches the Rfam family "Bacterial small subunit ribosomal RNA", at positions 524 to 773 of the family's 1533-position model. The record is from RNAcentral.